Molecule: long non-coding RNA, 997 nt
Organism: Gallus gallus (chicken)
Lineage: Eukaryota; Metazoa; Chordata; Aves; Galliformes; Phasianidae
Source: Ensembl
GGCAGCAACAAUUAGCUCUGAGAUACGGCCUCCCUGGCACCAAGCAGCGGUUGCUAUGUUACACCCUGAGCAGGAGAGAUCCAGCCAGACCCAGCACAGGAGCUCCAUGCCUCACACCAAGCAUUGUCUCGGGCAGGGGGACCGACUGCCAGGUGGUUUUGGCUGCUGGUCUGAGUACAACACAUGCAUAUGAUUACGUAGAAAUAUAGAAAGACAUAGCUAUGCAGAUCUAUCUUCUUCGUACGCACACCUGUAUUUUCAUACAUUCGAGAAAGAAGGAUGCAUUUCUGAGCUGCAGCAUAUCUUUUACAGCGGGGCAACGUGAUUUAUAUCUCUGCCAUUAACAUUUUCAUUCAAGUAACUGCUUAUUUAUUCCUAUAGCAGAGAAGCUGUUCUGACGACGUGGGAAGAUGCCGUUUCUGAGGCAGCCAGGGCUCUCAGCAGCCUGCAUUAUUUCUGGCGGGACUGUCAGUUCUCCAAGCACCACUACCUCAUUUUUAACGCAGAUCUGUUGGAAGACAUUUGGUCCAUCCUGCUUUUGUCAGCCACGGGCAGCAAAGUAGCCAUGGAGAGGCUGUGUGGAGAGACCACCACUCCAUGCCCUGGAGCCGAUGCCAGCAGCAGCCUGCUGUGUGCGCCGGGGGACAGAGAGCCCCAGCAGGCAGCCCAGCGCCCCGGGGAGAAGCCCGACCCCCACACAGGCAGCACGUGGGGGCACCGCGCUCCCACGGAGGCCACCUGUCCGGCUGCACACGCACACGUUUACCUUUGCUGGGCCGUACUUGAGGCCAGCCGGGCAGCGCACAGCUGGUGAGGGCAGGCUGCAUUGAACGCCCGAAGCUGCAAGUGGAAAAGUCGUCGCCCCGGCAGUAGCGAGCGCUUUCGCGUCCUGCUCUGCGGUCACUUGACCCCGGCGCAGCUGAUAGCGCCGUGUGACGCGGGGGCUGUCGCGGCCGUGACUCAGUGCCUCGUGUCGGCCCCAUCUGCUGACUGCCCA